AUUGAACGCUGGCGGAAUGCUUUACACAUGCAAGUCGAACGGCAGCACGGACUUCGGUCUGGUGGCGAGUGGCGAACGGGUGAGUAAUACAUCGGAACGUGCCCAGUCGUGGGGGAUAACGUAGCGAAAGCUACGCUAAUACCGCAUACGAUCUAAGGAUGAAAGCGGGGGAUCGCAAGACCUCGCGCGACUGGAGCGGCCGAUGGCAGAUUAGGUAGUUGGUAGGGUAAAGGCCUACCAAGCCGACGAUCUGUAGCUGGUCUGAGAGGACGACCAGCCACACUGGGACUGAGACACGGCCCAGACUCCUACGGGAGGCAGCAGUGGGGAAUUUUGGACAAUGGACGCAAGUCUGAUCCAGCCAUUCCGCGUGCAGGAUGAAGGCCCUCGGGUUGUAAACUGCUUUUGUACAGAACGAAAAGGCUCUGGUUAAUACCUGGAGCUCAUGACGGUACUGUAGGAAUAAGCACCGGCUAACUACGUGCCAGCAGCCGCGGUAA
This 500-nucleotide ribosomal RNA is filed under the name uncultured bacterium. RNAcentral's name for it is "partial 16S ribosomal RNA". It matches the Rfam family "Bacterial small subunit ribosomal RNA", at positions 30 to 523 of the family's 1533-position model. The record is from RNAcentral.